This 1065-nucleotide long non-coding RNA is filed under the name Drosophila guanche. The record is from RNAcentral. Lineage: Eukaryota; Metazoa; Arthropoda; Insecta; Diptera; Drosophilidae.
GUCUUUGGAGCCCGAUCAGUCUGCUUUCAGACACGAACACACACGAGCGCGCGAUCACUUGGCUCCACGUGAAGCACAGUUCAAGUUGCGCAUGCGCGAAACCUUGCGAAAGAAAACGUUAUUGCAACGGCAAUCGGACAACGUCUACUGCCCCCGCGUUAUUUUCGGCCAGGCCUUCUUAUCAAGAUCCGGGGCAGCUGUCUCGAAACCGCCCCGAGGCUUGCGUGUGCAACGUACCGUGCCACGGCCAAGAGGAGUUUUUUAAUGAAUAAAAAAUACAAAUAUAUGCAACAAGUAGCCGUAACCAUACGUGUAGCAGCAUCAGUGUGUGCCUGUGUGCCUGUGUGCGGUGUGUGUCUGUGUUUUUGGUAAAGUAAGCAACAAAAAAAAUGUGCAUCAAUUAUUUUAAAUGGUCAACUUAGUGCUCCCCCCUCCCAGCCACAGUGCGCGACAUCCAAUCAGCGCGAAAAUGUCCACCACUUUGUGCAACACAGAUCCCAAGCAGUAAACACAAUUAAGGCGACUGGGAGACAGCGUCCGAGCCAGAGCCAGAGCCAGAGCCAGAGCAGCGCAAACGUAAUUCGGGCACCGCGAACCAGUUUCCAGUUUCUAAUGCCAAUCCAGCAAUCGACAGGCACACUCCACCUCCAAAUGCCACCAACUGCAAAAUAAAAGUUAUAGCCCAACAAAAAAUAUAAGAGAAAUAACAAAAACCUAAUAAUAAAUACGCCUAAGCCCAAAUUGUUGUCAGUUUUGUGCGGCUUUUUCGUUGAUUUAUGUGCGCGAUUAAAGGAAACAGCAACAGAAAAGUCCAAAAGGCAGCGACAGAAAACGAUAAUAAAUAAAUCCGUGUAGCUGCAGCGCCCCACCCUUGCCCCCCCACAGUGAGUGUGUGUUGUGUACCUAUGAAUGCAAAUCAAGCGAAAAACAAAGCCAAAAGGCAACAGCUGAUCAAACGCCAGAGAUAAGCUGCAGUACAAGGAUAAAUUCCCGCAACAUGGAUAAACCCAAUCAAAUGAUGCCCAUGGAGCUAGAGAGGUGAGCGACAUUUGUAGCUAAGCUUAU